Molecule: unclassified non-coding RNA, 3877 nt
Filed under: Hevea brasiliensis (rubber tree)
Lineage: Eukaryota; Viridiplantae; Streptophyta; Magnoliopsida; Malpighiales; Euphorbiaceae
Source: RNAcentral
UUUCCUUGAAUUGGUUCUGUCAAUGCUAAUUUUAUUUUGUAUACGUUGAAAAAUGCAAUAAAAUGCUUCAUAUUGUUUAUCAAACAUAGCUUUACUCAACUGGAUCUUGAAUGACUUCUCCCUAACAUAGCAAUUCCCACUUUGGUACAAUUCCCACUUUAAACUCUUUUCCCUUGAUGAUGCUAUUUUGUUCUCCUCAUUCAAGGCAGAUUUGCAGAUAUACUCGUGGUUUGCUCAGUCGCUGGCAGUUGAGGAAGAGAUGUUUCCUUCAGCAUUUAGAGGUUCAGGUUCUCUUACCUAAAUGUAAAAUCUUGCAAUCAAAAUGCAACUCUUUAGGAAAAGUAAGCUUUGGAUUGCAAAAAUGUGGACAGUUGAUUUUGAGCCUGAAAUAACCAUAUUAAUGAAUGUUGUACUUAAAAGUUGCCUUCAAUAAUUCUUUUGCACUCUGGACUUGAGUGCUAACAAAGCAUCUCAAGAUAACAGGCACGCUGCAUAGCUCCAGCAUUUGCUAAGUCUUCCAGUCAGCAAGCUUAGCCUGGGCAAGAAAUUACUGCAUCACAGAUCCAGUCAACAUGGUAACUAAGCAGACUCCUGCAGUUAGCCUCUCCAGAAAUUAGCUGGAUAUUCCUCACUUGAUGUUGAUGGAUACUCUAGCUUGCCAAUUUAAUCAUGUAUUUAUGAUUUUCAUUUUCCCAAAUAACAAACUUAUCAAAACCAUUUGUUGUCAUUAUGUAGCAAUAUGCAUUACAUUGGAACAUCACCCAGAACUACUCAUAUCGAACCCACAAUGUGUGAGAAAAGAGCAGCUCUCAGCACAAACCUACCCUAUGUCCCAUCUCUUUUUAACACGGAACAUUAAUGCUGAGGAUCUGAUAUCAUCUUGCGGCAUUUGUAGCAUAAAUUGGACUUUCAUCUUCAUCGGGGCAGUCUUGGCCUUUCCACCUUCAUCUCCAACCUAAUAACAAUGACAUUAUGCAUUAUGAACUCACACCAACACCUAGUUUUGAAACUUCAUACAACUAAAAAUUACAGCGAAGGUUUAACAAAAGCUGUCAGUUGCAGAAAGGGUAGAAAUUUUCAACUUAACUUUGAAUGUCCAACUACCAAGAUAUCCUAGAAAGUUUACCUAAGCAAGCACUCUCAUGAUACUCUAGCCAGUAUUCACCCUGAAAUUCCAUUGGAUGACAGAUGACAAAAGGCUAUACAAUUUUAACAUGUAUACCACUGUGGCCAGUAUUAAAAUAUACUGAAAUUUAAAUGAUCUAAGCCACCAAUUUAAAAAGCUCUCUGAUGACAGUGGAAAAACAAACAUGGAAAAAAUCGCAGAGUUCCUGAUUCACAAUCCAUGUUGAAACUUGUAAGAUCACUAAAAAGCCUCAAGACUGCACUAAGUUUGAGCUGCUGAUAUGUAUAGCUGUAAAACUACAAUCCUGCAGUGAAUCACAUGGUAAUUUCCUCCCACUUCUAAUGUUCAAGGAAUGGUCACAAACCACAUCUUCAUAAAAAAGCGUAAAGCAUGACCUAAAUUGAUUGGAUGCAAUGAACGAUACUGAUUGUUGAGAGGUGAGAGCUCACUAACAUUUUCACAUUCACCUUAUUUAUGAUUAGCAUAAAUCUCUAGUAUCAUGUAAUUGAUAAGACGAUGACAAUGACAAUGGUAAUGAAGAUGAUGUGAUCAACAAAUAAAAGUUAAAUUUUGUAAUGCCAAAGAUAAGCAGCAACAAAAUUGAGGAAACAUUAACACUUACCCAAAGUGAAGCCCAACCAAGGCGCACAUCUGAAUCAUAGCCAGCUUUAAAUUUAUAAUCCUUGCCAUAUGUGUGUUUGUACACAGCACUCCAGUUGUUGGAGUCAAAAUUGUACCAGUAGCUGGAUCAUAUUUAUGAACCAAAAAAAUGAGAAACCAAAUUAAAAGUACACGACUCUUGGAGGGGGGAAAUGACAAUGAUAAAAAAAAUUUCUACAACCUAUUUGAUAUCAUAAAAAAAAAAAAUUUUUUUAGAUCAUCAAUCCAUACAGCAAGCCUGCAACUUGAAGCAUGUUACCAAAGUUUAAUUUCCAUUUCUCUACUUCUGGAAUUGUUUGGGACUUUUCACUUUUAUCAAAUUCAUUAAAAAACAGAAAAUAAGUAUAGGCUUCAUUGAACAUUCCUUUACAUUGUAAAUAUAGGUCUCACAGACUUCUUAAAAGUGGGCAAUCCACCUUCUUGAGACCUUUGUUCUAUUGAGAACUACACCAUGUACAUUUAUUGAUGCUGUUAAAUUUAUGGCACUUAGUUUUUGCUUUAUCCUAUACGCUUAGAAGUUAGAACUAACAUGGGUACUUGGAUGAUGACUCCCCAUAUGCAAGGGACGAUGACUUCCAGCAAACCUGCUUGUGACCAAACCCAUACUUUGAAUCCAAGCAAAUUAAAUCUGAAAUCUAGUUAGUUGCUGUAUUGAAAUCAACAUUAUAACAUUAGCUGCAUCCACAUGCAUCUAAGCAUGCAAUUCAAGAGCAUUUCAGCAUAGCGAAAUUACUGUCAAACUUCAGAUGUUUUCAGCUUACUAUCAGCAUUUGCAUCUCCAACUAUGCUUGUGCCACUUAUAUUGAUGAAAAUAUCUGUGGAUUGCUUCUAAAUGCUAGUUGUAAUUUAUUGAUAAUUCCAAGAUUAUAAAAGUAAACAAACUGGAAUGUUUCCUACAAAUGUCAUGACCUAUUGAUCGGGCCAGUAGUGAGUCUAAAGCAGGAUCAUCCAUCUUUGCUCAUCUCCCUUACUUCUAGUGAUGAUUCUUACCUAAUGUUUCUAUCCAAAGUGCAGACUAUCCCAAAAUACAACUUAUUCAUAACAAGCCAAUUUAUCUUGUUAAAAUAGUAAAUUCCAAUCAAAGAAUUGUAAGUCUCAAGAGGAAAGAUUCAGUGCAUUGGGGAGUCUUCUAACCUCAACUUAUUAUUGGGACUGAUCCGACGCUUGAAUGCAAAUGAUAAAGCAUUUGAAGGCAGAGAAAUGCUAGGGAUAAAUGAAAGUUCUUCAUCCUUAUAAGCAUAUCUUAGUUUCAAAUCUUCAUCAUUGAAUUGAGCAGAGCAUAGUCCAUUCAGAAUCUGGCCUUUGACAAUUCCACCUAUUGACAAUGUUCUUUUCACUUCCUCAUCUUCUCUCUCCUCAAGUGAAACCUCGCCAAGGGGGAAUUUCAAGGUUGCUCUUGGCAAACCAAUUGUUGGAACAGGAGAUGACAGCUCAAGAGCAUAGGCAGGAUCAGCAAGCUUUGCAAGCAUUGACACCUCUCCUUGUUGAGCCUUGACAUCAUGGGCAGCCCUGAAUUGCAAAGCGGGACCCACAUCAAAGGAGCCCUUGAUAAGAGCAAUUUGGUCAACAAGAUCAUAGUGAAUGGAGAGGAGUUUCGAAGUGAAGGUAAUUUGGGGUUCAGAGACCUCUCCUUUGUUGUUGUUCUGGAAAGAGAGCUUGAGUUUAACCAAGCUAUCAAACAACUUACAUGAGACCUUAUGGAAUAAUAAGGAACUAUCACUGUCAAACUCUGAGGUGACCCUAGCCGAGGGUCUCUUGAAGAAAAUGGGAAGUGAAGAAGGCGGUGAAGGUGGAGGUAGAGGUGGCGGCGGUGGGGAUUGGAGAGAGUGUAGGAGUGGAGGAGGUGGAUCUGCAGAUGCGAUGGGAGGGACCAUGUGAAUAGGCUGAGGAGGAGGAGGAAGAGAGAGCGUUGGUGGUGAUUCAGCCAUUGAUUGUCGUUGAUUGUUAUCUAUGAAGUGAUCUCUUUAAUUUGUUUGCUUGUGCAGUCUCCUCUCUUCUCUGUGUGUCUGGUAGAGAGCAAGAGUGGACUUUGGGUUUUUGGAUGGUGGCGGAAAUUUAGAUGAGAGAUUUCCUUGAUAUUUUUUUUUUUUU